UAAGAUGUGGCCAGAACUUUAGUUUAAAAUGUUCAAAAAAUGAAUUAACACGAUCAAUGUGAAGGAGACGACGAGAUGAUGUCAUUAUCGAGAUCUCAAUCUGUUGUAUUUCAGAGUUAUUUACUGAAAUGAGCAUGCGCACCAGCCAGCCCAGACCUGUCCUGUGUUGUAAUACCACUUUGUGACACUAGACGCUGUGUGAGUCAGCGGCGCGUCAAGUCUGCUCUCAGUCCCACGAAGAAGAACGACUUCCGGCAUAGCUUGAAGUUAGCAUCACAGAAGCACAGGAGUGGCUGAACCUCCUAAAAGACGAUAUUCAUCUUCAUCCCGAAGAACCGCUCCCGACAAGAAACCACGUUAAACGGCAAAGAAAAGAAGCGACACGAGUAAAUCUCGAUGUGGUUUUCCACCGCUGGAGAAGCUCCUGAGAGUGAAGAGAUGCGGUUUGAUGCCGAGCUCGCAACUUUCCUGUUAGCCCGGACCUGAGCCAGUACAGAUGCAAUACCGCCUCCACCUGUCUCACCAACGGCAGAGAGUCCAGAGAGUGAGGAGGGUCUAGACCAGAAUUCCAGUCUAAUCUUCACCAAUGAUGGACCAGCACCUGCCUUUUCUUCUGCAUCUGGCCUCAUCAAUCAACAACCACAUUACAGCAACACCUUGAGAGGGAUGGCAGAAUCCACCUCGGGCAAGAAAUGCACAGCUCCCCUCUUCUGUUCAUCCACCUCCUCUGCCUGGACACAUGUACCAGGACCAGAGCUUACAGGAAGAGGAAGGCGGCCUGAAGAUGUUGUGGCGGAGCGGGAGCCGCUGCCUGGAGGAAAAACCCACCGGCAGCCAACGUCAUACAUCUGCAGCAAGUGUGGACAACCCAGAAGGAUUGACACUGACCUCACUGUGAUUGUUGGUGGAAAGACUGUGGAGGAGUGGAGGGAAGAGAUGAAGAGAAGACAGGACUACAUUUUAUAUCUUCAACUUUUAAUUUACACUGUUUAUUAUUCAUUAUCAUUAUUCGCCUGAUGUCUCAUGAUGAUCUCAGUCCAGUGUUCCCUCUCUUUUAGCUCUGUGUUUGGUCUCCACCAGCUCCUGAGGGAAAUCUGUCUCUUUAACUGCUAAAUGCUUCGCUAUGUUCAGCAGCUGCUCUCGGACUAACUGCUGAGGAGAUAGUGGACAGUAUAUAUUCUAUUAAAUUGUGUCUUACUCUAUUAUUAUUAUUAUUCAAAAAUCUCAUGCCGACAUGUCAGACUGGGAGGGUGGGGAGUCGCCUGUCAGGAGGACAGGGGAGGAGAUUGUAUAGGGGAGUUUACAAAAGAACUGGGUGUCUUUGUUAGAGACCAUGCUGCCACACCAGUAGGUUGCUGGAAACCAAUGUCCUUAGUUUGAUAUUAAUUAUUGUUUUUUCUUUCAAAUUAUGUUUACCUUCAAUGAAUCUUAAUUUAUGAGUUUAUUUGACCUGGAAAUUGUUAGUAAGGCAAAUUGUUGUAAUUUAUAAACCAGAAGUAGUAAAGUUGGAUCCUGCAUUUAAUCAUGUUCUUUGUUAACAGGAUAAGCAGAACCCUGGUUAAUGUUUGAGAUUCAUUGUUUUCCUUUGGAUGCAUUAAGAAUGUAAGAUGUUUUAGUUGCCAUUGAUUCAUUAUCUUUGUUGUAUGCAUGGCAAGGUAUUUACUUUUGUUUGUUGUACUGCAGGAACCAUCCAUCCAUCAGUUCCUUGCUGAAUUUCCUGAACAAAAUAAAUGGUUAAAUGGC
Seriola aureovittata is the source of this 1743-nucleotide long non-coding RNA. RefSeq lists it as uncharacterized. The record is from RefSeq and is a predicted model, not a curated record. NCBI's taxonomy places the organism in Eukaryota, Metazoa, Chordata, Actinopteri, Carangiformes, Carangidae. The transcript has 5 exons.